Molecule: transfer RNA, 84 nt
Filed under: Serendipita indica DSM 11827
Lineage: Eukaryota; Fungi; Basidiomycota; Agaricomycetes; Sebacinales; Serendipitaceae
Description: Piriformospora indica DSM 11827 tRNA
Rfam family: tRNA
About the family: Transfer RNA (tRNA) molecules are approximately 80 nucleotides in length. Their secondary structure includes four short double-helical elements and three loops (D, anti-codon, and T loops).
Source: Rfam by way of RNAcentral
GGGCUAGUAGCUUAAUUGGUCAAAGCGCACGCCUCGGACUGAAAAUCUACAAGUGAGAUCUGAGGUUCGAAUCCCAGCGGCCCA